UACGAAGGGUGCAAGCGUUACUCGGAAUUACUGGGCGUAAAGCGUGCGUAGGUGGUGAGUUAAGUCUGUCGUGAAAGCCCCGGGCUCAACCUGGGAAUGGCGGUGGAUACUGGCUCGCUAGAGUGCGGUAGAGGAGAGUGGAAUUCCCGGUGUAGCAGUGAAAUGCGUAGAGAUCGGGAGGAACAUCAGUUGCGAAGGCGGCUCUCUGGACCAGCACUGACACAGAGGCACGAAAGCGUGGGGAGCAAACAGG
This 253-nucleotide ribosomal RNA is filed under the name uncultured bacterium. RNAcentral's name for it is "partial 16S ribosomal RNA". It matches the Rfam family "Bacterial small subunit ribosomal RNA", at positions 524 to 776 of the family's 1533-position model. The record is from RNAcentral.